ACGGGAGGCAGCAGUGGGGAAUAUUGCACAAUGGGCGCAAGCCUGAUGCAGCGAUGCCGCGUGAGGGAAGAAGGUUUUCGGAUUGUAAACCUCUGUCAACAGGGACGAAAAUGACGGUACCUGUGAAGGAAGCUCCGGCUAACUACGUGCCAGCAGCCGCGGUAAUACGUAGGGAGCAAGCGUUAUCCGGAAUUACUGGGUGUAAAGGGAGCGCAGGCGGGACAGCAAGUCAGCGGUGAAAUGUAUGGGCUCAACCCAUGAACUGCCGUUGAAACUGUUGUUCUUGAGUGGAGUAGAGGUAGGCGGAAUUCCGAGUGUAGCGGUGAAAUGCGUAGAUAUUCGGAGGAACACCAGUGGCGAAGGCGGCCUACUGGGCUCUAACUGACGCUGAGGCUCGAAAGUGUGGGGAGCAAACAGGAUUAGAUACCCUGGUA
This 434-nucleotide ribosomal RNA is filed under the name uncultured Ruminococcus sp. Its description in RNAcentral is "partial 16S ribosomal RNA". It matches the Rfam family "Bacterial small subunit ribosomal RNA", at positions 341 to 792 of the family's 1533-position model. The record is from RNAcentral. Lineage: Bacteria; Bacillati; Bacillota; Clostridia; Eubacteriales; Oscillospiraceae.